AUCUACAGCCAUACCACCCUGAACAUCUUGUCGGAUGUCAGAAGCUAAGGUUAGUACUUGGAUGGCAAACUGCCUGGGAAUAAUACUGGGUGCUGUAGGCU
This 101-nucleotide ribosomal RNA is filed under the name Microtus ochrogaster (prairie vole). Lineage: Eukaryota; Metazoa; Chordata; Mammalia; Rodentia; Cricetidae. The record is from RNAcentral.